RNAcentral lists this ribosomal RNA (253 nucleotides) under uncultured bacterium. RNAcentral describes it as "partial 16S ribosomal RNA". It matches the Rfam family "Bacterial small subunit ribosomal RNA", at positions 524 to 776 of the family's 1533-position model. The record is from RNAcentral.
UACGGAGGGUGCAAACGUUGCUCGGAAUCAUUGGGCGUAAAGCGCACGUAGGCGGCCUGUUAAGUCGGGUGUGAAAGGCCUGGGCUCAACCGAGGAACUGCUUUCGAGACUGCCGAGCUAGAGUGCGGAAGGGGCAACCGGAAUUCCCAGUGUAGCGGUGAAAUGCGUAGAUAUUGGGAAGAACACCUGAGGCGAAGGCGGGUUGCUGGGCCGACACUGACGCUGAGGCGCGAAAGCCAGGGGAGCAAACGGG